UAGGAAUCUACCUAGUAGUGGGGGAUAGCUCGGGGAAACUCGAAUUAAUACCGCAUACGACCUACGGGAGAAAGGGGGCAACUUGUUGCUCUCGCUAUUAGAUGAGCCUAAGUCGGAUUAGCUAGAUGGUGGGGUAAAGGCCUACCAUGGCGACGAUCUGUAGCUGGUCUGAGAGGAUGAUCAGCCACACCGGGACUGAGACACGGCCCGGACUCCUACGGGAGGCAGCAGUGGGGAAUAUUGGACAAUGGGGGAAACCCUGAUCCAGCCAUGCCGCGUGUGUGAAGAAGGCCUUUUGGUUGUAAAGCACUUUAAGCAGUGAAGAAGACUCUUCGGUUAAUACCCGGAGACGAUGACAUUAGCUGCAGAAUAAGCACCGGCUAACUCUGUGCCAGCAGCCGCGGUAAUACAGAGGGUGCAAGCGUUAAUCGGAAUUACUGGGCGUAAAGCGAGCGUAGGUGGCUUGAUAAGUCAGAUGUGAAAUCCCCGGGCUUAACCUGGGAACUGCAUCUGAUACUGUCAGGCU
Molecule: ribosomal RNA, 526 nt
Filed under: Psychrobacter aquaticus
Lineage: Bacteria; Pseudomonadati; Pseudomonadota; Gammaproteobacteria; Moraxellales; Moraxellaceae
Description: bacterial SSU rRNA
Rfam family: Bacterial small subunit ribosomal RNA
Source: RNAcentral